UACGGGGUGCAGCAGGCGCGAAACCUUUACACUGCACGACAGUGCGAUAGGGGGAUCCCAAGUGCACAGGCAUAGCGCCUGUGCUUUUCGGUACCCUAAGGCGGUACCAGAAUAAGGGCUGGGCAAGACCGGUGCCAGCCGCCGCGGUAAUACCGGCAGCCCAAGUGAUGGCCGAUCUUAUUGGGCCUAAAGCGUCCGUAGCUGGCCACGCAAGUCCAUCGGGAAAUCCACCUGCCCAACAGGUGGACGCCCGGUAGAAACUGCGUGGCUUGGGACCGGAAGGCGCGACGGGUACGUCCGGGGUAGGAGUGAAAUCCCGUAAUCCUGGACGGACCGCCGAUGGCGAAAGCACGUCGCGAGAACGGAUCCGACAGUGAGGGACGAAAGCCAGGGUCUCGAACCGGAUUAGAUACCCGGGUAGUCCUGGCCGUAAACAAUGUCUGCUAGGUGUGGCUCCCACUACGAGUGGGUGCUGUGCCGCAGGGAAGCCGCUAAGCAGACCGCCUGGGAAGACCGUCCGCAAGGAUGAACCUUAAAGGAA
RNAcentral lists this ribosomal RNA (541 nucleotides) under Halorubrum sp. AJ121. RNAcentral's name for it is "bacterial SSU rRNA". It matches the Rfam family "Archaeal small subunit ribosomal RNA", at positions 324 to 864 of the family's 1478-position model. Lineage: Archaea; Methanobacteriati; Methanobacteriota; Halobacteria; Halobacteriales; Haloferacaceae. The record is from RNAcentral.